CCUACGGGAGGCAGCAGUGAGGAAUAUUGGACAAUGGGCGCAAGCCUGAUCCAGCCAUGCCGCGUGCAGGAUGAAGCAUCUAUGGUGUGUAAACUGCUUUUAUACAGGAAGAAACCUCCCGACGUGUCGGGAAUUGACGGUACUGUAAGAAUAAGGAUCGGCUAACUCCGUGCCAGCAGCCGCGGUAAUACGGAGGAUCCAAGCGUUAUCCGGAAUCAUUGGGUUUAAAGGGUCCGUAGGCGGGCCAGUAAGUCAGUGGUGAAAUCUCUCCGCUCAACGGGGAAAUGGCCAUUGAUACUGCUGGUCUUGAAUUAUUAGGAAGUAACUAGAAUAUGUAGUGUAGCGGUGAAAUGCUUAGAGAUUACAUGGAAUACCAAUUGCGAAGGCAGGUUACUACUAAUGGAUUGACGCUGAUGGACGAAAGCGUGGGUAGCGAACAGGAUUAGAUACCCUGGUAGUCCACGCCGUAAACGAUGGAUACUAGCUGUUGGGGGCAACUUCAGUGGCUAAGCGAAAGUGAUAAGAUCCACCUGGGGAUACGUUGCAAGAANAGAAGACGAAAGAAAGUAGAGACGUGAGAGAGACGACGGACGACGACGAGGGAGGAGG
This 609-nucleotide ribosomal RNA is filed under the name uncultured bacterium. RNAcentral describes it as "bacterial SSU rRNA". The stretch from base 1 to 531 matches the Rfam family "Bacterial small subunit ribosomal RNA", at positions 338 to 873 of the family's 1533-position model. The record is from RNAcentral.